Molecule: long non-coding RNA, 848 nt
Filed under: Scleropages formosus (Asian bonytongue)
Lineage: Eukaryota; Metazoa; Chordata; Actinopteri; Osteoglossiformes; Osteoglossidae
Description: lncRNA (ENSSFOG00015025998.1)
Source: RNAcentral
CCGCGGCCCCCAUGAUGAUCCAAAUGAUGCGAAUGCAGCAUAUGGAUUAAAAGCUUAGAUGUAGCAGAGGUUGCUCAAGAUUGUAAAGAGAGCCCCGAAAUGGUAGCUGCCCAGAGUGUCUCAAGGACAGUGUAUCAUGUGGUGAUGCAGGUCCAGCGUUUACCAGAAGAUUAGUCGGACCCUGUGGCGACUUCCUCCUGCUGCUUUCGCAGCUCCAGCCGGAGACAUGGCGGAGAUGCAAGGGGGAGCUGCGUGCGAAGGCUCGGGGAGAAGAUCGGACCCGUCGUCCACGAGCCGCAGAGGACGGUGGCGCGAGGGACGGAGCAGCCCACCACGUACGCGAGGGCACCCUCUUCCCAGAAUAGCCGACAGGUUUGCGGCAAGGGGUCUGAACGGUAACUGGCUGAAAAACCGAAUACGAGGACCCUUCCGAUGACCCGUGACCUUAGAUUUUUACUGUCUUAUUGUUUUCAUCGAGGACGCCCGCGGUACCUGCUCUGAAUGUGUCUCUGUGUUCCGCUAUUUCCAUAAUUGGGCCGUUUAAUGACACUGCUUAUGUAUUCAUAAGCUCUGGAAAUGGAUUUACGUGAUUUGACGGGAUAUUACAUGUGCAGCGUUACUCAGUGUAGAUCUUGUUCGAUCCAUUAAACCUGUUAAUGAACAAAGGCACUUGUUUCCAGGUUCCUCUAUUCCAGACGCACCUUAACAACGGCAAAACGCGGCGGCUCCCCCCCCACCCCCUCCCCCAGGCGACGGGGAGAAUGCGUUUGACCACAGCCGGACCUUCGCGACUUUCAUUAACACCUGGCCGUUAGAGGACCGGUCUGUUGCGCGCGGCUCGGAGCGAG